Molecule: long non-coding RNA, 604 nt
Filed under: Equus asinus (donkey)
Lineage: Eukaryota; Metazoa; Chordata; Mammalia; Perissodactyla; Equidae
Description: lncRNA (ENSEASG00005032248.1)
Source: RNAcentral
GAGUGCAUUUGAAAAAACAAGGAACUCAGAGCCUAAAUAAUGUGUCUUAGGUGAGUUCUCUCAGAAGAUGACCCAGAAAGUGAUUCCUAAAAAGGACCAAGAAGUAUAACUUGUGGAACUCAGAAGAGAAGAAAGUAUUAUGUCAUGAAGUGAAUAAGUGAAGAGAAAUAGACCUAAGAGUAUCCUUUAGUAAGUCUGAGGCGAAAAGAACAAGUUCUCCAUCUUUGGAAUUAAGGAGCGAGGAGUUAUUCCCAGAAGGCCAAGAGAAUGAGAAGAAGCGUUAUUGGUCUAUUCAAGAUUUUUCACCCUUCCUUGAGCCAAGUUUGAGAAAUUUUACUGUCCUAGAAAUUCAUCAAAUGUGUGGAGACUUUCGAACUUAUUAACAAAUAAUGAUCAUGUCAUCUGGCCAUGAAGCAGUUUUUAAGUAUUCUUCUGGAUCUUAGCUAGCAUUGUACAUUGAACUACUCUACAGAUAAAUCUCUGAUUUAUUUUCAUAACAAAAAGCAGCUCGCAUUCAACAGAGAAGCCACGAAAAGCACACAGAAAAUCCCAAUGGAAAAAAAUCUCCAAAGUUCACUUGUGAAUCUACUGUCUAAAGACAAUU